GUACACAAAAAUGCACAUGCUGUGAGCUCGAUGAGUAGGGCGGGACACGUGGUAUCCUGUCUGAAUAUGGGGGGACCAUCCUCCAAGGCUAAAUACUCCUGACUGACCGAUAGUGAACCAGUACCGUGAGGGAAAGGCGAAAAGAACCCCGGCGAGGGGAGUGAAAAAGAACCUGAAACCGUGUACGUACAAGCAGUGGGAGCACGCUUAGGCGUGUGACUGCGUACCUUUUGUAUAAUGGGUCAGCGACUUAUAUUCUGUAGCAAGGUUAACCGAAUAGGGGAGCCGAAGGGAAACCGAGUCUUAACUGGGCGUUAAGUUGCAGGGUAUAGACCCGAAACCCGGUGAUCUAGCCAUGGGCAGGUUGAAGGUUGGGUAACACUAACUGGAGGACCGAACCGACUAAUGUUGAAAAAUUAGCGGAUGACUUGUGGCUGGGGGUGAAAGGCCAAUCAAACCGGGAGAUAGCUGGUUCUCCCCGAAAGCUAUUUAGGUAGCGCCUCGUGAAUUCAUCUCCGGGGGUAGAGCACUGUUUCGGCAAGGGGGUCAUCCCGACUUACCAACCCGAUGCAAACUGCGAAUACCGGAGAAUGUUAUCACGGGAGACACACGGCGGGUGCUAACGUCCGUCGUGAAGAGGGAAACAACCCAGACCGCCAGCUAAGGUCCCAAAGUCAUGGUUAAGUGGGAAACGAUGUGGGAAGGCCCAGACAGCCAGGAUGUUGGCUUAGAAGCAGCCAUCAUUUAAAGAAAGCGUAAUAGCUCACUGGUCGAGUCGGCCUGCGCGGAAGAUGUAACGGGGCUAAACCAUGCACCGAAGCUGCGGCAGCGACACUGUGUGUUGUUGGGUAGGGGAGCGUUCUGUAAGCCUGCGAAGGUGUGCUGUGAGGCAUGCUGGAGGUAUCAGAAGUGCGAAUGCUGACAUAAGUAACGAUAAAGCGGGUGAAAAGCCCGCUCGCCGGAAGACCAAGGGUUCCUGUCCAACGUUAAUCGGGGCAGGGUGAGUCGACCCCUAAGGCGAGGCCGAAAGGCGUAGUCGAUGGGAAACAGGUUAAUAUUCCUGUACUUGGUGUUACUGCGAAGGGGGGACGGAGAAGGCUAUGUUGGCCGGGCGACGGUUGUCCCGGUUUAAGCGUGUAGGCUGGUUUUCCAGGCAAAUCCGGAAAAUCAAGGCUGAGGCGUGAUGACGAGGCACUACGGUGCUGAAGCAACAAAUGCCCUGCUUCCAGGAAAAGCCUCUAAGCAUCAGGUAACAUCAAAUCGUACCCCAAACCGACACAGGUGGUCAGGUAGAGAAUACCAAGGCGCUUGAGAGAACUCGGGUGAAGGAACUAGGCAAAAUGGUGCCGUAACUUCGGGAGAAGGCACGCUGAUAUGUAGGUGAAGUCCCUCGCGGAUGGAGCUGAAAUCAGUCGAAGAUACCAGCUGGCUGCAACUGUUUAUUAAAAACACAGCACUGUGCAAACACGAAAGUGGACGUAUACGGUGUGACGCCUGCCCGGUGCCGGAAGGUUAAUUGAUGGGGUCAGCGCAAGCGAAGCUCUUGAUCGAAGCCCCGGUAAACGGCGGCCGUAACUAUAACGGUCCUAAGGUAGCGAAAUUCCUUGUCGGGUAAGUUCCGACCUGCACGAAUGGCGUAAUGAUGGCCAGGCUGUCUCCACCCGAGACUCAGUGAAAUUGAACUCGCUGUGAAGAUGCAGUGUACCCGCGGCAAGACGGAAAGACCCCGUGAACCUUUACUAUAGCUUGACACUGAACAUUGAGCCUUGAUGUGUAGGAUAGGUGGGAGGCUUUGAAGUGUGGACGCCAGUCUGCAUGGAGCCGACCUUGAAAUACCACCCUUUAAUGUUUGAUGUUCUAACGUUGACCCGUGAUCCGGGUUGCGGACAGUGUCUGGUGGGUAGUUUGACUGGGGCGGUCUCCUCCUAAAGAGUAACGGAGGAGCACGAAGGUUGGCUA
Molecule: ribosomal RNA, 1959 nt
Filed under: Escherichia coli
Lineage: Bacteria; Pseudomonadati; Pseudomonadota; Gammaproteobacteria; Enterobacterales; Enterobacteriaceae
Description: partial 23S ribosomal RNA
Rfam family: Bacterial large subunit ribosomal RNA
Source: RNAcentral